CAAUGUCCCUUCUACGAGCUCAUUGUCAGAUGCAUGUUUGAUCUGACUAUGGCAGAUGCGCCCAAUACAAAUUUCAUUGAAGAGAUUGAUUCUCUUUGCAAAUUCUCUAUAGGGAGGAGGCUGGUCAAACGUAUAUACAAUACAUCUCUCCACCAGAUUUCGAAAGUUGCAAGGCUUAUCCGUAUCAAUUUGAGAUCAGUUGUUGAGUGAUAUUGUCACAUUAAGGCGGUGACAAGGGCGAGCAUUUGACACAAUGGAGACACAAUGGAGACGAUCUGACAAACGUGAAUCCAGACACAUCAAUGAAUGGAAAACCUUAGGAAUGAGAUUAAGAACGUUAGACAUAUCUAUCUGUCUCGAAAGAUCCA
Camelina sativa (false flax) is the source of this 368-nucleotide non-coding RNA. Lineage: Eukaryota; Viridiplantae; Streptophyta; Magnoliopsida; Brassicales; Brassicaceae. The record is from RefSeq and is a predicted model, not a curated record.